Molecule: long non-coding RNA, 2404 nt
Organism: Mirounga angustirostris (Northern elephant seal)
Lineage: Eukaryota; Metazoa; Chordata; Mammalia; Carnivora; Phocidae
Exons: 5
Source: RefSeq, a predicted model, not a curated record
GCCCAGGCUGCCGCUAUAAAGCGCCGGCCUGACGCACUGUAGGUGCCUGCGCAGGGGGAGCAGGGGCAAAACCAAGCGACGGGGAAACGGCCAGUCGCAGCCAAAUGGGCACGAACCCCCCCAUGCGCCGCGCGGAAUGAAUCCUUAGAGUGAACAAAUCAAUAUAUAGAUGUCUAGUGUCUUGGUCUUACUUGGACAUUUAGCUUCAAUGGCCUAAGGAUAUGAAGCAAUAAAAAGAGAACAUCUGAACAAGUCAAAUUGGAAAAAUAACCAAAAACCCUCAACCCCAAACCGGAUACCUGGAUCUCUCUAUUUUUAUAUGUCCUACAUUCUAUGAGCACAAAGAGUGGAGAAGACACAGAAUGUGCCAAAAUGAGGAUACCCACAUAUUUUCCAAUUACCUUGGCAGAAUUACGUCACCUCUCUGAACUUCUCUGGCCUUCUUGGCUGUCAGCAUGGAUUGAGAUGAGAGAAGGCACUGUAGCAAGAAUGGAAGUCAUAGGGAGAGAGCUGGAGCGAGAGCGAGCGGGAGCAUGCUAGGCUGGGGGAGUGGCAGGCUCCCCGCCUCGGAAGGAGCCUGAUGCGGGACUCGAUCCCAGGAUCCUGGGAUCAUGACCUGAGCUGAAGGAAGACACUUAACCGACUGAGCCACCCAGGCGUCCUUUUUUUUUUUUUCUUUUUGAAUUAAUUUCUUCUAAUUUCUGUCCGUGUUUUCUCCAGUCUAAGAGAAUUGGACAGAUCUGUAGGUCACUGUCACCAAAUAGCGAGACGUUUAGUAGCUCGAGGGUAUAGAGGCUGUUUUCUACACAUUUAGCAAAUGCAAUUUGUGUGUGUCGUCAAUGUAUCACCACAGAAAAAGACAGUAACAUUUUGCAAGUUCUUUUCAGACUUUGUCUUUGAUACCUUUGACAAUCUCUAAAGUUUUGAAAUAGUACUUUAUGGUAGUAAAAUUUUUCCUGUACAAUGUUUAUCUAUACAUAAGGCUGUUUAUUUGGAGUGGACGGGUGUGUUGGUUUCCUAGAGCCAAGGUAAUAAAAUACUACAAACUGGUAGAAACAGAAACUUAUUCCCUCAGGAUUCUGGGGGCUGAAAAUCCAAAUUCAAGGUGUCAACAGAGUUGAUUCUUCCUGAGGGCUUGCAGGAGACUCUGUUCUAUGUCUCUUUCCUAGCUUUUGCUGACAGACAGAAUUCUUGGGGUUUUGGGCUCCUAGAUGCAUCUGUCGCAUCUUCACCUCCAUCUGCAUGUGGCAUUCUCCCCACGUCUCUGCGUUUUUACACGGCUAUCUUCUUAGAAGGACAUCAACCAUCAUGGUUUAGGGGCCUACCUACACCAAUACAACCUCAUCCUAACUAAUUCCAUCUAUAAUGACCUAUUUCCAAAUAAGGUUGCAUUCUGAGGUACUGAGUUAGGAUUUCAACUUACCUUUUUGGCAGGGGACACAAUUCAACCCAUAACAGUGGGUCAGAGAUGAGCCUGAUAAUGGCUUGUGUUUUUUAUAAUAAAUACUCUGAUGGUUGAACUGUGUUGGAACAGCCUGUCAAAUAGCACCAUCAUCAAAUCAUCGCCUAGGACAUAGUGGGUACUCAGAUAUGUUUGUUAAAUGAAUGUUGCCACUGAGGAGAUCAGGACCAAAACACAAGGACCUCACUUACUGGCCUGGUCAAUGAGUCCGAUCAUGACUUCUCGCCACAUAGAAAUUGGGCAUUAGUCAGUUCUGAGGAUGAGAGAAACCUCUCCUGCUCCCCAGUUAUUGAGAUACAUAAGCCACUUAGGAGAAUGGUGGCCAUUUGGGCAGAAAUUAUUUCCAUUUUACUGAAAAGUUUCAAAAAGAAAAUGUUUAUCCUUAAAGCUUCAUUUCAGGUGAAAUCAUGUUUUAGACUUUUGGAUAGCUUUUAGGCCAAGGCAAUUGAGAGGAAAACAACUUUGUGAGGAAAACAACACAUAUUCCAAAAUGACAAUAAUAGGCAUUAUCAGGUGUUAGUACGUUCCAAAAUUAACAAAUUCCUCAUAAUUAAUUGAUAUUUGUAUUGCAUUUACUUCGUAUGUGUUUGCUUUUGAAAGAAUAUCCUCUGGAUCUCCUUCUGUUUAAGCCUUACUUUUCUUUAUUGUUGUUGUUUUUUAUUGUUGUAUAUAUUUCUUACUUUUCCUGUAUCUUUAUUGCCUACUUUCUAGGCUACCUCUUUAACUUACAUGUAUAUUAUGCUGUAAACAUGUGUAAAAUGUGUGAAAUUCCUACCCACUCUACUUUAAAUUUCUGUAAUGAGAAACCCAUAUAACACCAUAUGUUAACUAACUGGAAUUAAAAUAAAAAAUUAAAAAAAUACAUGUCUGUAAUGAAUACUAAAGAAGUCACGGACACAAUAAUUGUUGCUCAGUAAUGAGGUGGUUCCUAUUAAAGGUGAU